RNAcentral lists this unclassified non-coding RNA (200 nucleotides) under Fibulochlamys sp. RNAcentral describes it as "partial internal transcribed spacer 2". The record is from RNAcentral. Lineage: Eukaryota; Fungi; Basidiomycota; Agaricomycetes; Agaricales; Lyophyllaceae.
UUAAGUUUAGCGGGUAGUCUUGCCUGAUUUGAGGUCAAAUUGUCAGAAGUUGUCCCCAAGGACGAUUAGAAGCGGAACCUCUCAAACAAGUUGAGGCUGACACUCUAGCGGCGUAGAUAAUUAUCACACCAAGAGAUGGUCAACAAAGGUCUCACUAAUGCAUUUGAGGAGAGCCGACUUCUGAGAAGCCCGCAACCCCC